This is a long non-coding RNA of Passer montanus (Eurasian tree sparrow), 318 nucleotides long. RefSeq lists it as uncharacterized. The transcript has 3 exons. Lineage: Eukaryota; Metazoa; Chordata; Aves; Passeriformes; Passeridae. The record is from RefSeq and is a predicted model, not a curated record.
UUGACCCAAGAUGUCUGCAGCUGUGAAGGUAUCCUACAGCCCAUUGACUUUUGUCCUAACUUUCUUUCAGAUGCAGAUGGAUAAAAUCCAUAGCAGAGCAGGCCAUCCCAGGAAGUAAAGGCAUAUAGCAACAGUCAAGUUCAAGUGGGCAAGGUAAUCCACUCAAGUUAUGUCAAGCCCCCAUCACCAACCAGCCGACGGACCAAUUUUGCUGCUCUUGUGGGCCCUGUGGAGGUAUUGCAGCACCCUGUGAUGAAGCUUUGAAAUUUUCUGCUUAAAGGUCCCUUCUGGAUAACCCUUAGGAAUGCUUGAGGAGUC